CUCCCUCCUUUAUUAAACGCACACGGAAAUGCAGCACGCAGUGUUGGGGAAACGGAAAGGAAACCCGGAAAAGAAAACAGAGCAGGACUCCACUCUCCUCCCCCCUCCUCACUCUCUCUUUCUUGGAUCGUAAGCAAUCGCGGAGGAAAUCCAUCCGCAAUCGUGGAGGGGAGGACAUUUUGAUCGGUGCUGGUUUGCCAAGGCGGGGACGAGGGUACAUGGUGGCCGUCAUGGAUCGAGGCGUGGACGGGAGGACGGGGAGGGGCCAGCAGUGGAGGCGCACCAGCCCUUUCUCCCGCUCUUUGCUCCUCUUCUCGCAGUAAUCGGGGAGGGUGGUGGUGGUGGUGGUGGUGCCGGUGCCAUCUGAAUUUCUGCGGAGCUCGCCAUGAAGCGGCCCGGCGGCGGAAACCCCUCCUCCCUCCACCAGAUGGCCAGCCCCAAUCAUAUGGACUACGGCGUGGUCGGGAUGGAGGCGGACGGGGACGCGGAGGAGGAGAUGAUGGCGUGCGGCGGUGGCGGCGGCGGCUGCGGGGGAGGGGAGAAGAAGCGGCGGCUGAGCGCGGAGCAGGUGCGCGCCCUGGAGCGGAGCUUCGAGGUGGAGAACAAGCUGGAGCCGGAGCGCAAGGCGCGGCUGGCGCGCGACCUCGGCCUGCAGCCGCGCCAGGUCGCCGUCUGGUUCCAGAACCGCCGCGCGCGCUGGAAGACCAAGCAGCUCGAGCGCGACUACAACGCGCUGCGCCACUCCUACGACGCGCUCCGCGUCGACCACGACGCCCUCCGCCGCGACAAGGAGGCCCUCCUCGCCGAGAUCAAGGAUCUGAAGGGGAAGCUGGGGGACGAGGAGGCCGCGGCGAGCUUCACGUCGGUGAAGGAGGAGCCGGCGGCGUCCGACGGCCCGCCGCCCGCGGGCAUGGGGUCAUCCGACAGCGACUCGAGCGGUGUUCUGAACGACACGGACGCGACCGGCGCGACACCAACAGAGGAGGCGCCGGCUCCAGACAUGGGGACGCUGCUCGGCGGGCCCGGGGCGGCCGGCGCGGCGGCGGCGGGGCACGGGCAGGUGUUCCUGCACGGGAAUUUCCUGAAGGUGGAGGAGGACGAGACGGGGUUCCUGGACGACGAGGAGCCGUGCGGGGGGUUCUUCGCCGACGAGCCGCCGCUGGCGUGGUGGACGGAGCCGACGGAUCCCUGGAAGUGAGGCGCGGCGGAGAGAGAGAGACUCGGUGGGAGACGACACCUCGCGCGGGGAAUAAAAGAUUAGUGAAGAAAGCAGGGGCUUUUCUGAAAUUUUUGUAAAUCUCGUUUUUAUCUAGUCCUUUCCUGUCAAACCCUCGCCGUCGCAGCAUCAGCAAUAGUACUACUACUACUACUAGUGCCAUUUCCGCCCCCGCUCUUUCUGCCAUUUCCUUUUUCCUCCCGUAAACCCUCGCCUUUUAGCUAAAAACUUAAAUGUUCAAG
RNAcentral lists this ribosomal RNA (1458 nucleotides) under Triticum aestivum (bread wheat). Its description in RNAcentral is "partial small subunit ribosomal RNA". The record is from RNAcentral. Lineage: Eukaryota; Viridiplantae; Streptophyta; Magnoliopsida; Poales; Poaceae.